Molecule: unclassified non-coding RNA, 300 nt
Filed under: Ascomycota sp.
Lineage: Eukaryota; Fungi; Ascomycota
Description: partial contains small subunit ribosomal RNA, internal transcribed spacer 1, and 5.8S ribosomal RNA
Rfam family: Eukaryotic small subunit ribosomal RNA (bases 1-47)
Source: RNAcentral
AAAGUCGUAACAAGGUUUCCGUAGGUGAACCUGCGGAAGGAUCAUUACAGAAUGUAACCUUUUUGGGUAACACUCUUCUCUAUCCCUUUGUCUACCUUACUCUGUUGCUUCCAUGGUGCCAGCCAAUUCGUUGGCUCCGGACAGGUGCUAAAGCUCCCUGCUUGGAAGUGCCCAUGGGUGGUCCGCCAGGGGAACGCCUGUACCCGGGCGGACCAAACUUGAUAUAAUCUGAAAUUGAGAAAUUGUCUGAACAUAUAUUAAAUACAUAUAAAACUUUCAACAACGGAUCUCUAGGCUCUU